UUGCACUGUUCGUAACCUGUUUGCAGUAUCCUCCUGCUAAUGGGUUCCAUUCCAGUGCUAUAUUAAAUCCCUGAAGUAACAGAAGGUGGACUGUUCAUCUGUCUGUCUGACCCUCUUUAUUUUUGGGGAUACAAUU
Molecule: small nucleolar RNA, 136 nt
Organism: Crocodylus porosus (Australian saltwater crocodile)
Lineage: Eukaryota; Metazoa; Chordata; Crocodylia; Crocodylidae
Source: Ensembl